AACGAACGCUGGCGGCAUGCUUAACACAUGCAAGUCGAGCGAGAACCAGAAAGCUUGCUUUCUGGGGACAGCGGCGCACGGGUGAGUAACGCGUGGAUAACGUGCCUUGGGGUUGGGAAUAACUUACCGAAAGGUGAGCUAAUACCGAAUAUCUUCAUCGAAAGUUUGCUUUUGAUGAAUAAAGCGACUUGUCGCGCCCUAAGAUCGGUCCGCGUCCCAUCAGCUUGUUGGUAAGGUAAUGGCUUACCAAGGCGACGACGGGUAGCUGGUCUGAGAGGAUGAUCAGCCACACUGGGACUGAGACACGGCCCAG
RNAcentral lists this ribosomal RNA (313 nucleotides) under uncultured bacterium. RNAcentral's name for it is "bacterial SSU rRNA". It matches the Rfam family "Bacterial small subunit ribosomal RNA", at positions 29 to 334 of the family's 1533-position model. The record is from RNAcentral.